AAUAACUAUUUAAGGGAUUAUAACUUGGACUUCCAAUAUGUCGACAUGGGUAAACAGCCUCAAGUUAACUUUGUUAUGCAGGUUGUUGAGAGCAAUAUGAUGAGGGAAGGCAGGAAAGAGUACCAGUCUUAUAGUCUGUAUGUACUCGUGGCAAAAUGGUGUUCGAGAGGUGGCGAAUAAGGAUUUGCUUGCAGCAUUGAAGAACGAUAAUACAUGCUGCUGCAUGUAUAUGUUAAAGUGUUUUAUUCACUGAGGCACUUCCAGUCAUAUUCGAAAAGACUACCAACAUGCCAUAUGAAGUGGCUGAGAAAAUACCAUUUGGUUCCAUACAGAGGAAGUUCAUUUCAUCACUAACGACUCGGACAGAAUGCUUCCACUGUAGAGCAAAGCCUGGAAAGAUUGAAGGACAGAUUUGGGAAAAGGAAAGCAGCCAUGAAGGUGAUGAAAUAACCCAGUCCAAUUUGAUUGAAAUUGUUGAACAGAUGUUUCCAGAUGUGAAAGUCAGGUUAGGGUGCCUGGCUGAGGAAGGAAGAUGUUGUCGCAGUUGAGCGAAGUGUUGAAAGAUUAAAUUUCGAGUUUGAAAACGAAAUGAAGGUGGACCAGUGGUCAACCUCCUUGGAGAAGGGCCUCACUUUGAGAAAGCCACCCAUGCCUGGUUCCACAGGUCACUUUCCUUUUCCUAUGGAGCUCGUCCUUCUAAAGAGCAGCCCACUGAUCAAUGUUCACCAGGAACACAGCUUCUCAGCCAUUCAGACCCACAGAGACCCCUGAUUGAAGACAGGGUUUUAACAAGUGCAUUGAAAAUGACAUUGCCUUCACUGAUAGUGACAAUGUAAAACUCCAGAUGUGUCUGUGUUACCAUCACGGAAUUAUGACAGCAUAACCCCCCGAUAUUGAUGUUUUAUUUAAUUAUUAUUACAUCUAUUCCUGUUAUUGACCUUCACCACCAGUCUUGGGUUAAAUUUUCUUUGAUUUGACUGAAAUUAUUUUCACAGUCCAAUGCAUAUGUACCAGGGACCUGCUGAAAUUCAGCAAGAGCUUAUCAGCAGCGCAAAUCGUUAUUUGUGUAUGUUAGUUACUGUAAAUACUGACAAGCUUUGGGCCCAGACUCUUGACCAUCACAAAUUAGGGUCAUUGUUGAUCUAAUCUUGUUUCAGCCUUGGUGAUCUCUAUUCACCCUUUAAGCAAUGGGAAACACGUAGUUUAGUGUUGUUCAAUUUUAAAACACAACA
Mya arenaria is the source of this 1232-nucleotide long non-coding RNA. RefSeq lists it as uncharacterized. The transcript is spliced from 9 exons. The record is from RefSeq and is a predicted model, not a curated record. NCBI's taxonomy places the organism in Eukaryota, Metazoa, Mollusca, Bivalvia, Myida, Myidae.